Molecule: transfer RNA, 76 nt
Filed under: Staphylococcus aureus
Lineage: Bacteria; Bacillati; Bacillota; Bacilli; Caryophanales; Staphylococcaceae
Also listed under: 1 other name
Description: tRNA-Asp(gtc)
Rfam family: tRNA
About the family: Transfer RNA (tRNA) molecules are approximately 80 nucleotides in length. Their secondary structure includes four short double-helical elements and three loops (D, anti-codon, and T loops).
Source: RNAcentral
GGUCUCGUAGUGUAGCGGUUAACACGCCUGCCUGUCACGCAGGAGACCGCGGGUUCGAUUCCCGUCGAGACCGCCA